CGGGCGGGGCCGGGCCGGGCCGGGCCGCGCGGCUGCUCUCCCCGCGGCGAGGCGGACGCCCGCCCGGCAAAGAAGCGGGGCGAUUUGGACGCGAAGCCGGGCAGCGAGGAGACGCAUCCCGCGGCGCACAGCACACCCGAGCACGAAAACCGGGGCCCGGUCACGCUGCCGGCGAAGCGCUGGGAGAGAAGGGCUCCGCACCCAUGUCACCCCGCCUUGCAGUCCGAUUGGAGCUGGAAAUGUGAAAGAAAAUCGUACUUUUAAGGAAUCCACCAGGUCCUGGACAAGAAAGAGUCUCCUCAGCUCUUUGACUGUACUGUUCACGUACAACUGGAGACAGUCUGUGUAUUUCUGAAUCUGGUCCUGUGAGAGAGACAUUUCCAUCUCCAGGUAGGCUCUG
Alligator mississippiensis (American alligator) is the source of this 400-nucleotide long non-coding RNA. RefSeq lists it as uncharacterized. Lineage: Eukaryota; Metazoa; Chordata; Crocodylia; Alligatoridae. The record is from RefSeq and is a predicted model, not a curated record. The transcript is spliced from 2 exons.